This 511-nucleotide ribosomal RNA is filed under the name uncultured Paenibacillus sp. Its description in RNAcentral is "partial 16S ribosomal RNA". The record is from RNAcentral. Lineage: Bacteria; Bacillati; Bacillota; Bacilli; Caryophanales; Paenibacillaceae.
CACGUAGUUAGCCGGGGCUUUCUUCUCAGGUACCGUCACUCCGGUAGCAGUUACUCUACCGGACGUUCUUCCCUGGCAACAGAGCUUUACGAUCCGAAAACCUUCAUCACUCACGCGGCGUUGCUCCGUCAGGCUUUCGCCCAUUGCGGAAGAUUCCCUACUGCUGCCUUCCGUAGGAGUCUGGGCCGUGUCUCAGUCCCAGUGUGGCCGUUCACCCUCUCAGGUCGGCUACGCAUCGUCGCCUUGGUGAGCCGUUACCCCACCAACUAGCUAAUGCGCCGCAGGCCCAUCCCUUAAUGACAGAUUGCUCCGCCUUUCAUUCUCCCUUCAUGAGAAAAAAGAAAUUAUCCGGUAUUAGCUACCGUUUCCGGUAGUUAUCCCAGGCUAAGGGCAGGUUGCCUACGUGUUACUCACCCGUCCGCCGCUAAGCUUACCCCGAAGGAUAAGCUCCGCUCGACUUGCAUGUAUUAGGCACGCCGCCAGCGUUCGUCCUCGAGCCAGGAUCAAACCU